GGGACUCGACCUUCCCUCUGUGCCUAAGGUAACCCGUUAAGCUAGCCGCCUGUGUAGUACGAUCGCAAGAUUAAAACACAAAGGAAUAGACGGGGACCCACACAAGCGGUGGAACAUGGGGUUUAAUUCGUCAAUAAGCGAGUAACCUCACCCAGACUUGACAUCCUAUUCGCACCUUUUAGAAAUAAUUGGGUCGGUUCGGCCGGAAUAGUGACAGGCGUUGCAUGGUUGUCGUCAGCUCGUGCCUUGAGGUGUUCGGUUAAGUCCGUUAACGAGCGCAACCCUCGUCGUAUGUUGUAUUUUCAUGCGAGACUGCCCAUCAUAAAUGGGAGGAAGGUGAGGAUGACGUCAAAUCAGCAUGACCCUUAUGUCUGGGGCUACACCCGUGUUACAAUGGGACGUACAAACUGAAGCGAAGCGGUAACGUGGAGCCAAUCGGAAAAAACGUCUCUCAGUUCGGAUUGAAGUCUGAAACUCGACUUCAUGAAGUUGGAAUCGCUAGUAAACGUAUAUCAGUCAUGGUACGUUGAAUAUGUUCCCUGGGUCUUGUACUCCUCGCCCGUCAAGGCAUGGGAGUCGGGAGUGCUCGAAGUCUGCAAAAUAAUUGUGGCC
This 612-nucleotide ribosomal RNA is filed under the name uncultured bacterium. RNAcentral describes it as "bacterial SSU rRNA". It matches the Rfam family "Bacterial small subunit ribosomal RNA", at positions 827 to 1457 of the family's 1533-position model. The record is from RNAcentral.